UUCAAGAUUGAGGAGAAGCAGAAGCAGGUGAUUGUGGAGAAACUUGGUGAGCCAACAAAUAGCUAUGAGGACUUCACUGCAAGCCUUCCAGCUGAUGAGUGCCGAUAUGCUGUCUAUGAUUUUGAUUAUGUAACGGAUGAGAACUGCCAGAAGAGUAGGAUUGUAUUUAUUGCUUGGUCUCCUGAUACAUCGAAAGUGAGAAGCAAGAUGAUUUAUGCUAGUUCCAAGGACAGGUUCAAGAGGGAAUUGGACGGUAUCCAGGUAGAGUUGCAAGCUACUGAUCCUACAGAAAUGGGCCUCGAUGUUAUUAGAAGCCGAUCAAAUUGAAU
RNAcentral lists this unclassified non-coding RNA (329 nucleotides) under Hevea brasiliensis (rubber tree). Lineage: Eukaryota; Viridiplantae; Streptophyta; Magnoliopsida; Malpighiales; Euphorbiaceae. The record is from RNAcentral.